GGGGUCCUUGUGCACACACWCUUGGUUGUUUGCUUAGUGUAAUGGGGCUCUGUGUCCGGGGUAUUACUUGUAUCUCGGKAUCUACUAUACGGGUUAUGUCAUUGAUAUUGGCUGUUGUGGUCGUGAUUAGANUUGUUUGGGCUUUGUAGUGAGAMUGGUCUGACAAGAGGAGUUGACUGUSUCUAUAGAUAACUUGAUGUGAAUGUUUAGCUGUUCCAGGUGAGGAGGCUUGGAGUGUUUGCACAAGGGACGAGAAGACCCGUGUAGAUUUGUUAAUUUCGUUAGUUUUUUUGGGAUUGGUAUUGUUUGGCUUUUGAUGCUGUUUUAGAAUGGAUUUGGAUGUUUUAYGACUGGGGCGGCUGUGGGAGAUGAAUAUCUCCUGUUUGUAUUGUGGCAAAUUAAUGGUUGUAUUUGAGUCCUUUAUUAUGGAUACUUAAGAAAAAAAUACCUUCAGGGAUAUACAGCGUAAUUUUUCUUGAUGAGUACUUAUCGACUAGGAAAGUUUGCGACCUCGAUGCUUGCAAUUCAAAGGUGGAGUCUUGGUUUAAGGGGAUAACCCC
RNAcentral lists this ribosomal RNA (560 nucleotides) under Pleomothra apletocheles. RNAcentral describes it as "partial large subunit ribosomal RNA". The record is from RNAcentral. Lineage: Eukaryota; Metazoa; Arthropoda; Remipedia; Nectiopoda; Godzilliidae.